This 320-nucleotide ribosomal RNA is filed under the name uncultured eukaryote. RNAcentral describes it as "partial 18S ribosomal RNA". It matches the Rfam family "Eukaryotic small subunit ribosomal RNA", at positions 1470 to 1796 of the family's 1831-position model. The record is from RNAcentral.
CCCCUAGAUGUUCUGGGCCGCACGCGCGCUACACUGAACAGUUCAACAAGUCUUAACCUUGGCCGAUAGGUCUGGGUAAUCUUUGAACGCUGUUCGUGAUUGGGAUAGACCUUUGCAAUUAUGGGUCUUCAACGAGGAAUUCCUAGUAAACGCAAGUCAUCAGCUUGCAUUGAUUACGUCCCUGCCCUUUGUACACACCGCCCGUCGCACCUACCGAUUGAAUGGUCCGGUGAAAUCUCGGGACGGCGGCUUGGUCGCUUGCGUCCGACUGCUGAAACUUGAUUAAACCAUAUCAUUUAGAGUAAGGUGAAGUCGUAACA